Felis catus (domestic cat) is the source of this 85-nucleotide transfer RNA. It matches the Rfam family "tRNA". From Rfam's summary of the family: Transfer RNA (tRNA) molecules are approximately 80 nucleotides in length. Their secondary structure includes four short double-helical elements and three loops (D, anti-codon, and T loops). Lineage: Eukaryota; Metazoa; Chordata; Mammalia; Carnivora; Felidae. The record is from Rfam.
GCCUGGGUGGCUCAGUCAGUUGAGCAUCCGACUUUGGUUCAGGUCAUGAUCUCACAGUUCGUGGGUUCAAGACCCGCAUCAGGCU